GGGAAAAGCUCAAAUUUAAAAUCUGGCGUACCUUUGGUCGUCCGAGUUGUAGUCUGGAGAAGUGUUUUCUGUAUUGGACCAUGUACAAGUCCCUUGGAACAGGGUGUCAUAGAGGGUGAGAAUCCCGUCUUUGACAUGGAUUACCAGUACUUUGUGAUACACUCUCAAA
Molecule: ribosomal RNA, 169 nt
Filed under: Thelephoraceae sp.
Lineage: Eukaryota; Fungi; Basidiomycota; Agaricomycetes; Thelephorales; Thelephoraceae
Description: partial large subunit ribosomal RNA
Rfam family: Eukaryotic large subunit ribosomal RNA
Source: RNAcentral